UAGGGAAUCUUCCGCAAUGGACGCAAGUCUGACGGAGCAACGCCGCGUGAGUGACGAAGGUUUUCGGAUCGUAAAGCUCUGUUGCCAGGGAAGAACGGGUGAGGGAGUAACUGCCCUUGCCAUGACGGUACCUGAGAAGAAAGCCCCGGCUAACUACGUGCCAGCAGCCGCGGUAAUACGUAGGGGGCAAGCGUUGUCCGGAAUUAUUGGGCGUAAAGCGCGCGCAGGCGGACUUGUAAGUCUGGUGUCUAAGACUGGGGCUCAACCCUGGAACGCACCGGAAACUGCAAGACUGGAGUGCAGGAGAGGAAAGUGGAAUUCCACGUGUAGCGGUGAAAUGCGUAGAGAUGUGGAGGAACACCAGUGGCGAAGGCGACUUUCUGGCCUGUAACUGACGCUGAGGCGCGAAAGCGUGGGGAGCAAACA
RNAcentral lists this ribosomal RNA (426 nucleotides) under uncultured Paenibacillus sp. RNAcentral's name for it is "bacterial SSU rRNA". It matches the Rfam family "Bacterial small subunit ribosomal RNA", at positions 355 to 774 of the family's 1533-position model. Lineage: Bacteria; Bacillati; Bacillota; Bacilli; Caryophanales; Paenibacillaceae. The record is from RNAcentral.